RNAcentral lists this ribosomal RNA (253 nucleotides) under uncultured Clostridiaceae bacterium. RNAcentral's name for it is "partial 16S ribosomal RNA". It matches the Rfam family "Bacterial small subunit ribosomal RNA", at positions 524 to 776 of the family's 1533-position model. Lineage: Bacteria; Bacillati; Bacillota; Clostridia; Eubacteriales; Clostridiaceae. The record is from RNAcentral.
UACGUAGGUGGCGAGCGUUGUCCGGAUUUACUGGGCGUAAAGGGAGCGUAGGCGGACUUUUAAGUGAGAUGUGAAAUACUCGGGCUCAACUUGAGUGCUGCAUUUCAAACUGGAAGUCUAGAGUGCAGGAGAGGAGAAUGGAAUUCCUAGUGUAGCGGUGAAAUGCGUAGAGAUUAGGAAGAACACCAGUGGCGAAGGCAGGUCUCUGGGCCGUUACUGACGCUGAGGAGCGAAAGCGUGGGGAGCGAACAGG